GGAGGAGUCGCCUAGUGGCCUAUGGCACACGCUUGGAAAGCGUGCAAGCGAAAGCUUACGCGGGUUCAAAUCCCGCCUCCUCCG
RNAcentral lists this transfer RNA (84 nucleotides) under Candidatus Levyibacteriota bacterium. Its description in RNAcentral is "tRNA-Ser". It matches the Rfam family "tRNA". Rfam says of the family: Transfer RNA (tRNA) molecules are approximately 80 nucleotides in length. Their secondary structure includes four short double-helical elements and three loops (D, anti-codon, and T loops). Further hydrogen bonds mediate the characteristic L-shaped molecular structure. tRNAs have two regions of fundamental functional importance: the anti-codon, which is responsible for specific mRNA codon recognition, and the 3' end, to which the tRNAs corresponding amino acid is attached (by aminoacyl-tRNA synthetases). tRNAs cope with the degeneracy of the genetic code in two manners: having more than one tRNA (with a specific anti-codon) for a particular amino acid; and 'wobble' base-pairing, i.e. permitting non-standard base-pairing at the 3rd anti-codon position. Lineage: Bacteria; Candidatus Levyibacteriota. The record is from RNAcentral.